Molecule: ribosomal RNA, 253 nt
Filed under: uncultured bacterium
Lineage: Bacteria
Description: partial 16S ribosomal RNA
Rfam family: Bacterial small subunit ribosomal RNA
Source: RNAcentral
UACGUAGGGUGCAAGCGUUGUCCGGAAUUAUUGGGCGUAAAGAGCUCGUAGGCGGUUUGUCGCGUCGAAUGUGAAAACCCGGGGCUCAACCCCGGGCCUGCAUUCGAUACGGGCAGACUAGAGUUCGGUAGGGGAGUCUGGAAUUCCUGGUGUAGCGGUGAAAAGCGCAGAUAUCAGGAGGAACACCGGUGGCGAAGGCGGGACUCUGGGCCGAUACUGACGCUGAGGAGCGAAAGCGUGGGGAGCGAACAGG